Carassius gibelio (silver crucian carp) is the source of this 1428-nucleotide long non-coding RNA. RefSeq lists it as uncharacterized. NCBI's taxonomy places the organism in Eukaryota, Metazoa, Chordata, Actinopteri, Cypriniformes, Cyprinidae. The transcript is spliced from 3 exons. The record is from RefSeq and is a predicted model, not a curated record.
GAGCAGCAGAGUACUGUCCUCCAGAGGCUUUUUCGCAGCCCAAAUACCACGCCGUCCCAACAAAUGUCUGGGCUCUGGGCGUUACGCUGUAUCUGAUGGUGAACAGACGGCUGCCCUUUUACAACAUCCGGGAAACAUUGGAAGCUUCCCCUAAGUUUUGGAAGCCCACCUUGUCCAUAGCAUGCCGUGAUCUGAUUGGCCAGUGUCUGAACCGCGAUCCAGCGAAGCGGCCGACUUUAGAGCAGAUCUUAGAGCACCCCUGGUUCAAAAGGUGGCUCUAGAAUGAAGGCAGGCGAGGGAUUCCCUCUCUCAUGUGCCUCAGACCUAAUCACUCUCCAUAGAGGUCAAGUACUGUCAUAUGUUUCAAUUCUAAAUGAUGUUGAGAAAACAAAACAGUUGUUGACCGCAGAGCACUUUAAUGUUCUGGUCCUAUUAUAGACAACAUAGUAAUAUGAUAAUAUGAAAAGUACUGGACUAGAUAGAAACAUGAUUCCAAAUCUUCUUGAGACCAUGAACCCAAACAGACCUCUAAAGGACCAGUGUGGACAUUAGGGUGUGCUUCCCAUCUAACGCUCCUGUGCAGUUAGGGAAAUCCACCUAGAUGAAAACUUUGAAGAGAUAUUCCUCUCCUGCUCAGUCGGUCUUUCUAGGUGUGUGUAUCCAUCAUGCACCUGUUCAGUGCAGCACAUGUGUCCUCGAUGGAUUUAGCCACUGUCCUCUCCUGGAAACAAUAGUGAGAGGCAAGCGUUCUGACUAAUUUCCUGAUAUAAAAUAAACUUUAAUAUAAACAUUCAUUUCUGUCUCUUCACAGAUAAUUAGUGCAGGGCAAGAUAGAAGUCACUUCGAGACAAACACAUCAAGUGGAAAAAAAGACAGCAGUUGCUCAGUGGCUCUGGAGCAAUGCGUCAACAGGAAUGGAAAUAAGCUUCAGCGAUUUCCUUCCUGAAUGUAUUUAUACAAAAUUGAAGUCGCUCCGACUCCGGUCUUCCAGAGCCCUGCCUCUGCCUUGGUUGCAUGAGACUUCAGCUCCACCUUGGCCCUCCGGACCCUCAGUGUCACCCUGGCUCUCCAUCCGCUCGUCUCCAUUCUGGGCUCAUCAUCCAUCGGCUCAGUUCUCUGUAUGUCGGCCCCCUGGUGUUGUCGGCUCCAUGGCUCCUCCCUGCUCCCUCCAUUCACUCCACCCUGGCACUAUGGACUAUGUUCCCUCUCCAUUGCCUGCCCCACACCUGCCCCCUGAUCAUCCACCCUCCCUCCUCUGUUGGGCUUUUUUGUCGGCACGAGGACAUGCCGUUCUGGGAGGGGUCAAACUCUGUUUUGGUUUAAAGUCUUCUUCUGUAUUUUGUCCGUUCUCGUUGAUGUUUAUUCAUUGAUCUAAUGUGGAUUUAUUUAGCUGUCUCCUGGAUAUUCUUAUUAAAAUACCUUUUUUCU